CAAGGAAUAGUUAAACUUAGAAUGCUAGUUUUGGGGACUAGCGGUGAGAGUUAGAAUCUCUCUUUCUUGA
Molecule: transfer RNA, 70 nt
Filed under: Pandaka pygmaea (dwarf pygmy goby)
Lineage: Eukaryota; Metazoa; Chordata; Actinopteri; Gobiiformes; Gobiidae
Description: tRNA-Pro
Rfam family: tRNA
About the family: Transfer RNA (tRNA) molecules are approximately 80 nucleotides in length. Their secondary structure includes four short double-helical elements and three loops (D, anti-codon, and T loops). Further hydrogen bonds mediate the characteristic L-shaped molecular structure. tRNAs have two regions of fundamental functional importance: the anti-codon, which is responsible for specific mRNA codon recognition, and the 3' end, to which the tRNAs corresponding amino acid is attached (by aminoacyl-tRNA synthetases). tRNAs cope with the degeneracy of the genetic code in two manners: having more than one tRNA (with a specific anti-codon) for a particular amino acid; and 'wobble' base-pairing, i.e. permitting non-standard base-pairing at the 3rd anti-codon position.
Source: RNAcentral